Non-coding RNA from Chelonoidis abingdonii (Abingdon island giant tortoise), 101 nucleotides. Lineage: Eukaryota; Metazoa; Chordata; Testudines; Testudinidae. The record is from RefSeq and is a predicted model, not a curated record.
UGGAGGUCACAGAAGUCACGGCUUCCAUGACUUUCUGGGACCUCCGUGAAUUCUGCAGCUGCCCCCUAAGUUACCCCCAUGCCCGUGAGCUGCAAUGUCUG